GGACGAACGCUGGCGGCGUGCCUAAUACAUGCAAGUCGAGCGGAUCUUUUUAGGUAGCUUGCUACUUAAGAAGGUUAGCGGCGGACGGGUGAGUAACACGUAGGCAACCUGCCCUUUAGCCUGGGAUAACAUUCGGAAACGAAUGCUAAGACCGGAUACGCAGCUUGGUCGCAUGAGCGAGCUGGGAAAGACGGAGCAAUCUGUCGCUAAGGGAUGGGCCUGCGGCGCAUUAGCUAGUUGGUGGGGUAACGGCUCACCAAGGCGACGAUGCGUAGCCGACCUGAGAGGGUGAACGGCCACACUGGGACUGAGACACGGCCCAGACUCCUACGGGAGGCAGCAGUAGGGAAUCUUCCACAAUGGGCGAAAGCCUGAUGGAGCAACGCCGCGUGAGUGAGGAAGGCCUUCGGGUCGUAAAGCUCUGUUGCCAGGGAAGAAUAAGGGCUAGUUAACUGCUAGCUCGAUGACGGUACCUGAGAAGAAAGCCCCGGCUAACUAC
This is a ribosomal RNA of 499 nucleotides. It matches the Rfam family "Bacterial small subunit ribosomal RNA", at positions 27 to 504 of the family's 1533-position model.